RNAcentral lists this transfer RNA (70 nucleotides) under Vietnamophryne orlovi. RNAcentral describes it as "tRNA-Val". The record is from RNAcentral. Lineage: Eukaryota; Metazoa; Chordata; Amphibia; Anura; Microhylidae.
ACAAAAUGUAAUUUACCAUAAAAUAUCUUGCUUACACCAAGAAAAAAUUUGUUACACCAAAUCAUUUUGA